This 1604-nucleotide unclassified non-coding RNA is filed under the name Hevea brasiliensis (rubber tree). Lineage: Eukaryota; Viridiplantae; Streptophyta; Magnoliopsida; Malpighiales; Euphorbiaceae. The record is from RNAcentral.
UGCAAGGACAAAUGAGAAACAUUCAGAGGCUGCUGCAGCAUAUAUAGAGGCACAACAAGUUAAAGCAAAGGAGCAGCAACAACAACAGUUGCAAAUGCAGCAGUUGCAACUGAUGCGUCAAGCUCAAUUCCAACGGGGAGGUCCUAAUAAUCCAUCUCUUGGCGGUCCAGUAAAUGCUAUUGGUUCUGAAGGAAUGCUUGGUCAAUCCACUGCUAGUGCAAUGGCGGCAAAAAUUUAUGAGGAACGUAUGAAACACUCUAAUCCAAUGGAUUCAGAAACAUCUCAGCCACUCCUUGAUGCUAGGAUGCCUCUACUAAAACAAGCAACGAAUCAUCCUGGCCAGUUGGUCCAAGGGAAUUCUGGGAGCAUUACAGCAGCAUUGCAGCAAAUCCAGGCACGAACUCAACAGACUACUGACAUCAAAAGUGAAGUGAACUUGGGUACUGCUCAAAGAUCUUUGCCUAUGGAUCCUUCUUCAAUUUAUGGGCCGGGAAUCAUGCAGUCAAAACCUGGAAUGGUAAAUACAGCUUUGAACCCUGGUGUUGGCAGUCUUCCAUUAAAGGGGUGGCCCCUAACAGGGAUUGACCAAAUUAGACCAAGUUUGGGUGCACAAGUUCAAAGGCCUCUUUUGCACGGUGCAAGUCAGUUUCAGCUUUUGCCACAACAACAGCAACAACUCUUGGCACAGGUUCAAGCACAAGGCAAUCUUGCUAAUUCACCAAUAUAUGGAGAUAUGGAUCCAAGAAAGUUUAGGGGAUUUCCUAGAGGCAAUUUGCAAGCCAAAGAUGGCCAACCAAAUGCAAAUGAUGGAUCUAUUGGUUCUCCAAUGCAAUCAACUUCAUCUAAGAUGAACAUGCCACCGAUGCAACAGUCGUCCUCUCAACAGCAAGAUCCUCUACAAUCGCAGCAAGUACAGGUUGUAUCCUAAACUGACAUAAUGACAUUAAACAUUUUUUUUUUUGGAGAAAUUCCAAGUUACCUUAAGUUCACUUGCUUAUGCCUUAUUGUUUCACAUAUCUAUGAAAUUCUACAUUAAAUACUAGUGCAAUGAAUUCUCCUUUCAGUUCUUUAAUAAAUUGGAAAAUUAAUAACUACUGCAUGUCUGUUUAUGGUGUAACAGAAUAAUCGAAAAAGGAAAGGUCCUUCAUCUUCUGGACCUGCUAAUAGUGCUGGCACAGGAAACACUGUAGGCCCUUCUCCUAAUUCUCAACCAUCAACACCAUCAACUCAUACUCCUGGUGAUGGAAUUUCCUCAGCAGGCAACUUGCAGCAUGUCAGUAGCAUGUCGAAAGGCAUGAUCAUGUAUGGUGCUGAUGGAACAGGAGCUCUUGCAUCAUCAACAAACCAACUGGAAGACAUUGAACAUUUUGGAGAUGUUGGGUCCUUAGAUGAUAACGUUGAAUCUUUUCUCUCACAUGAUGAUGGAGAUGGAAGGGAUUUGUUUAGCACAUUGAAAAAGAAUCCUUCUGAACAUGCAACAGAGGCUUCCAAGGGUUUCUCAUUCAGCGAAGUUGGUUCCAUUCGUAAAAGCAAUGGCAAAGUUGUUUGCUGUCAUUUCUCCACAGAUGGGAAGUCAUUGGCCAGUGCUGGGCAUGACAAGAAGU